UGAAAACCUAUGAGUGAUCUUUCAUCAUGUUCACAAGUGGAGAAAAGCAUAGACUGGGAAACCUUCUGCCCAGUGUGUCAUGAAAUGUACCCAGAUGAUGAAGAGAGACAUUUCACAAAAUUAAAAACAUUUAAAAAAAAUCUUCUAUGUCAAGGAAGCACUAAAAAGAAGGAAUACGAGUUAUGCUUUGUCAACCAAAAAAUCUCGCCUUCGAUCACUGUACUUUUCAGAUAUGUAAACCAGUCUUCGGAAUGAGAGAGAUUGAAUAAGAGAAUCAGUGCACCUGCCAGCAUGCAAAUACCUGCUGAAGGAGAAGAGAAUGAAUCCCACUCUUCCUCCCCAAAAAACUAUCAGAAAACCUUGUGUUUUGCAGCUGUUGAUGACUGAAUCAUUAAUCAAGCAGACAAAUAUGGAAAUCCUAUACAAAUUUAAGCAAAUAGUGUUUGACAUUUAGAUCAGUUGAUAAAGACAAGCUGUUUGAGCCUUUUGAGGAGUGUUUGUUUAAGCUAUUAGCAUGAGGAACACAGAGUUUUAAACAAACAAUGGGUCCAAUUUUGAUCUCAGUUACACCAGGGAAACGUUGGCUUGACUCCAUUGGUUUAACAGAGCCUUUCCAGCAUUACAGCAGUAUAAAGAAGAGCGGUAUUUUGGAAAUAAAGAAGAGCAUCUAUUAAA
Chrysemys picta bellii (western painted turtle) is the source of this 675-nucleotide long non-coding RNA. RefSeq lists it as uncharacterized. The record is from RefSeq and is a predicted model, not a curated record. NCBI's taxonomy places the organism in Eukaryota, Metazoa, Chordata, Testudines, Emydidae.